CCAGACUCCUACGGGAGGCAGCAGUGGGGAAUAUUGGGCAAUGGGCGCAAGCCUGACCCAGCAACGCCGCGUGAAGGAAGAAGGCUCUCGGGUUGUAAACUUCUUUUAUCAGGGACGAAGCAAGUGACGGUACCUGAUGAAUAAGCCACGGCUAACUACGUGCCAGCAGCCGCGGUAAUACGUAGGUGGCAAGCGUUAUCCGGAUUUACUGGGUGUAAAGGGCGUGUAGGCGGGAAAGCAAGUCAGAUGUGAAAUCCGGGGGCUCAACCCCGAACUGCAUUUGAAACUGUUGGUCUUGAGUAUCGGAGAGGCAGGCGGAAUUCCUAGUGUAGCGGUGAAAUGCGUAGAUAUUAGGAGGAACACCAGUGGCGAAGGCGGCCUGCUGGACGACAACUGACGGUGAGGCGCGAAAGCGUGGGGAGCAAACAGGAUUAGAUACCCUCGUACAA
RNAcentral lists this ribosomal RNA (449 nucleotides) under uncultured bacterium. RNAcentral describes it as "bacterial SSU rRNA". It matches the Rfam family "Bacterial small subunit ribosomal RNA", at positions 331 to 794 of the family's 1533-position model. The record is from RNAcentral.